ACUGGCUAGAUAUUCUUCAACUCAUUCCCACUGGUAAACUGUAAUCAAACUGAGGCAGUUAUCAUGGAAUUAUGAAUGGGGGAAGGAAGAGACAUUUUCAUAGAUUAUGUCACUAUAUAUAUGUUGUUGCUUCGUCUAUAUCUUCAGGUUAAAGGAGCUAAGUGCCAUCAUGAAGUUUUUAUUACUGUUGCUAUUUAUUGGAUGAGAUGAGCCAAAGAAUAUAGCUUAGGCUGUAUAUUGGCAAGAACUUUUAUCAGUUCCCCAUUUACAUGGGCAACAAAAGUGUGGAAGCUCAUUUUAGGUUGCUUGCAGCAAUAGUGUACAUUUAUCAAACUGGCCCAUAUUUUAUGCAGUUUGGAAUGGCAUAACUGUGAGUAGAAAGGCAAGCCUCCUCCAGGCUUGCAACAGCUCGGCUACAAUGGUCUGAGUUGGUUUCCCUUAUUUCUGUUUCUGGUGUGAGGCCUGGCUUCUGACAUUCUUGGGAAGGCAGGUACUUUUUCAAGUCAAGCUCAAUGAAAGAUAUCCCAUCACAAAGUUCAGAAGUAGCAGUAGCAAUACUAUCAUUGGAUAUUUAUUGACUACACAACAUAUGAGGAAAGGAGUACAGCAACCAAUCAAGGCCUGAACCUUUGUAAAGCUUUGACCUGUUCCAUUUCUGAUUUGGGCUUCUUCAUCUCUCC
Sarcophilus harrisii (Tasmanian devil) is the source of this 680-nucleotide long non-coding RNA. RefSeq lists it as uncharacterized. The record is from RefSeq and is a predicted model, not a curated record. NCBI's taxonomy places the organism in Eukaryota, Metazoa, Chordata, Mammalia, Dasyuromorphia, Dasyuridae. The transcript has 3 exons.